GCCGCAGUAUUUUGACUGUGCAAAGGUAGCAUAAUCAUUAGUUUUUUAAUUGAAAGCUGGAAUGAAGGGUCGGAUGAGAAAGAAGCUGUCUCAAGAAAAUUUUAUUUGAAUUUUAUUUUUAAGUCAAAAAGCUUAAAUUUUAUAGAAAGACGAGAAGACCCUAUAGAGUUUAAUAGAUUAAUAUUUCAGUUAAAAAAGGUUUUUAUUUUAAUUGAUUUAUUAUCUAUUUUGUUGGGGUGACAUUAGAAUUGGAAAAACUUCUUUUUAUAUUAACAUUAAUUAGUGAAUUUAUGAUCCUGAGUUUUUGGAUUAAAAGGAAAAAUUACCUUAGGGAUAACAGCGUAAUUCUUUUGGAGAGUUCUAAUCGAUAAAAGGGAUUGCGACCUCGAUGUUGGAUUAAAGUUGAUUUUUGGUGCAGAAGCUAGAACUUUG
RNAcentral lists this ribosomal RNA (432 nucleotides) under Lydomorphus sp. n. 4499. RNAcentral's name for it is "partial large subunit ribosomal RNA". It matches the Rfam family "Bacterial large subunit ribosomal RNA", at positions 1930 to 2575 of the family's 2925-position model. The record is from RNAcentral. Lineage: Eukaryota; Metazoa; Arthropoda; Insecta; Coleoptera; Meloidae.